Molecule: long non-coding RNA, 273 nt
Organism: Dermacentor silvarum
Lineage: Eukaryota; Metazoa; Arthropoda; Arachnida; Ixodida; Ixodidae
Exons: 2
Source: RefSeq, a predicted model, not a curated record
CAGCAGCCUCGAAACGUCGAAAGCCGCCCGUGAAGUCCUACAGAAUUGCGGGGAGGUGGUACGAGAAGGACAGACGAGAAGCGUGGAUAACUGCAGUGCGCCGAGUCAAUGUGGAUGCCACUCCCUGGGAGCCAAAAUGAGAGCAGCCGCGUGUGCGCGCCCAGCGACCAACGAAACCAACCGCAAUCGUCACCGUCUCUGCACAUCUCUGCAAGCAUGCAUGACCGCUUUGUGACUGCACCAUAGAGAAAUAAAAGUGACUAAAUUACUGAA